This 559-nucleotide small RNA is filed under the name Pan troglodytes (chimpanzee). RNAcentral's name for it is "processed transcript". The record is from RNAcentral. Lineage: Eukaryota; Metazoa; Chordata; Mammalia; Primates; Hominidae.
GUCGACAUAAUUCCUCUGAUGGUUUUUUUAACAAUGGUCCCCUACGAACUGCAGGAGAUUCUUGGCACCAGCCCUCCCUGUUCCGCCAUGAUUCUGUGGAUUCUGGUGUCUCUAAGGGAGCAUAUGCUGGAAUCACAGGGAACCCAUCUGGUUGGCAUAGCUCUUCCCGAGGUCAUGAUGGCAUGAGCCAACGUAGUGGAGGUGGCACAGGGAACCAUCGCCACUGGAAUGGCAGCUUCCACUCCCGGAAAGGGUGUGCUUUUCAGGAAAAGCCACCUAUGGAGAUUAGGGAAGAAAAGAAAGAAGACAAGGUGGAAAAGUUGCAGUUUGAAGAGGAGGACUUUCCUUCCUUGAAUCCAGAAGCUGGCAAACAGCAUCAGCCAUGCAGACCUAUUGGGACACCUUCUGGAGUAUGGGAUGGAGUCUCACUCUGUUGCCAGGCUGGAGUGCGGUGGCGAGAUCUCAGCUCACUGCAACCUCAGCCUCCCGGAUUCAAGCUUUUCUCCUGCCUCAGCCUCCUAAGUAGCUGGGAUUACAGGCCUAUGCCACCAUGCCCGGC